UGGGGAAUUUUGGACAAUGGGCGAAAGCCUGAUCCAGCAAUGCCGCGUGUGUGAAGAAGGCCUUCGGGUUGUAAAGCACUUUUGUCCGGAAAGAAAUCCUUGGCUCUAAUACAGUCGGGGGAUGACGGUACCGGAAGAAUAAGCACCGGCUAACUACGUGCCAGCAGCCGCGGUAAUACGUAGGGUGCAAGCGUUAAUCGGAAUUACUGGGCGUAAAGCGUGCGCAGGCGGUUUGCUAAGACCGAUGUGAAAUCCCCGGGCUCAACCUGGGAACUGCAUUGGUGACUGGCAGGCUAGAGUAUGGCAGAGGGGGGUAGAAUUCCACGUGUAGCAGUGAAAUGCGUAGAGAUGUGGAGGAAUACCGAUGGCGAAGGCAGCCCCCUGGGCCAAUACUGACGCUCAUGCACGAAAGCGUGGGGAGCAAAGCAGGAUUAGAUACCCCUGGUAGUCCACGCCCUAAACGAUGUCAACUAGUUGUUGGGGAUUCAUUUCCUUAGUAACGUAGCUAACGCGUGAAGUUGACCGCCUGGGGAGU
Molecule: ribosomal RNA, 535 nt
Filed under: uncultured bacterium
Lineage: Bacteria
Description: partial 16S ribosomal RNA
Rfam family: Bacterial small subunit ribosomal RNA
Source: RNAcentral